AACGAACGCUGGCGGCAUGCCUAACACAUGCAAGUCGAACGAGACCUUCGGGUCUAGUGGCGCACGGGUGCGUAACGCGUGGGAACCUGCCCUUAGGUUCGGAAUAACUCCCCGAAAGGGGUGCUAAUACCGGAUAAUGUCUUCGGACCAAAGAUUUAUCGCCUUUGGAUGGGCCCGCGUUGGAUUAGCUAGUUGGUAGGGUAAAAGCCUACCAAGGCGACGAUCCUUAGCUGGUCUGAGAGGAUGAUCAGCCACACUGGGACUGAGACACGGCCCAGACUCCUACGGGAGGCAGCAGUGGGGAAUAUUGGACAAUGGGCGAAAGCCUGAUCCAGCAAUGCCGCGUGAGUGAUGAAGGCCUUAGGGUUGCAAAGCUCUUUUACCCGGGAUGAUAAUGACAGUACCGGGAGAAUAAGCUCCGGCUAACUCCGUG
RNAcentral lists this ribosomal RNA (433 nucleotides) under uncultured bacterium. RNAcentral describes it as "partial 16S ribosomal RNA". It matches the Rfam family "Bacterial small subunit ribosomal RNA", at positions 29 to 507 of the family's 1533-position model. The record is from RNAcentral.